Mastomys coucha (southern multimammate mouse) is the source of this 485-nucleotide long non-coding RNA. RefSeq lists it as uncharacterized. The record is from RefSeq and is a predicted model, not a curated record. NCBI's taxonomy places the organism in Eukaryota, Metazoa, Chordata, Mammalia, Rodentia, Muridae. The transcript has 3 exons.
ACAUUCUAAUUUAGAGUUGGACAUGUGCUGUGGAAGUCCAUGAUCAUAUCCUGGUACAUCUAAUUAUAAAACUGAGUGGGACCAGAGGCAAUGACUAUGUGGCUCAAACAGUUUGCCCAAAUAGUCUUAACUUCAUCACUCUCAAUGGAUACAACAGCAACUCUCAUCUUAUAUCUGUGGCUAUGUGAGAACUUCAAGGAACAUCCUGAUGUUCAUAUUUGAGUAGAAUUCCCUAUUGAAGAAAGAAUAUGAUGACCAAUUGAAUAAGAAAGUGAAGCCAAGGCCUUAUGCACGCUAGUCAGGAGCUUUGCUGCCAACCUGGGUUUCAAUUCUACAAGUCUAACUUUAAGGGUGGCUGUGCAGGAGCGAGUCUUUUUAGCAUUGUCUGGGAUGAAAUAAAGACUUAGAAGGUGUACUUGCUUUCUUGCAAAUGUUUUCUUCUGGCUCAAUUCAAUGGUCAAUUAUCAAUAAACUACUAAAACAGA